ACUUCGGGAAACCGGAGCUAAUACCGGAUAAUAUUUUGAACCGCAUGGUUCAAAAGUGAAAGACGGUCUUGCUGUCACUUAUAGAUGUAUCCGCGCUGCAUUAGCUAGUUGGUAAGGUAACGGCUUACCAAGGCAACGAUGCAUAGCCGACCUGAGAGGGUGAUCGGCCACACUGGAACUGAGACACGGUCCAG
RNAcentral lists this ribosomal RNA (194 nucleotides) under uncultured Staphylococcus sp. RNAcentral describes it as "partial 16S ribosomal RNA". It matches the Rfam family "Bacterial small subunit ribosomal RNA", at positions 146 to 334 of the family's 1533-position model. The record is from RNAcentral. Lineage: Bacteria; Bacillati; Bacillota; Bacilli; Caryophanales; Staphylococcaceae.